This 311-nucleotide small RNA is filed under the name Histoplasma capsulatum var. duboisii H88. RNAcentral describes it as "Histoplasma capsulatum H88 hypothetical RNA". The record is from RNAcentral. Lineage: Eukaryota; Fungi; Ascomycota; Eurotiomycetes; Onygenales; Ajellomycetaceae.
AUCUCUCUAUCACAUGGUGAAAUCUUGGAAACCUAUUCCAAUUCAAUUAAAGAGCGUUUGCCGCGAAGCAUAUCCUCCGAUCGAAUAGGAGCCUCCUAAAUCUUUUGCUGAAGGAAGCUAUUCAGUCCAGGAUGAUCCCACGCAGCGAUUGGAAUUCCGCAAUCGCACAGCAAGAGAAUUUCUGUUGGUCCCUUUGACAACAAUUCACAUUCCUGGCUGGGGAAGAAAUGCGGUUGAAAAUUGGCUUAAAGGUUUCUACCAAUCAUCCAAUCCAGAUGGGCUGGUAUUUAUCAGAGGGUCUCUGCUUCCAC